RNAcentral lists this ribosomal RNA (254 nucleotides) under uncultured bacterium. Its description in RNAcentral is "partial 16S ribosomal RNA". It matches the Rfam family "Bacterial small subunit ribosomal RNA", at positions 524 to 776 of the family's 1533-position model. The record is from RNAcentral.
UACAGAGGUCUCAAGCGUUGUUCGGAUUUAUUGGGCGUAAAGAGCUCGUAGGCGGUUGGGUAAGUCGGGUGUGAAAACUCCAGGCUCAACUUGGAGACGCCACCCGAUACUGCUCUGACUUGAGUUCGGUAGGGGAGUGGGGAAUUCCUGGUGUAGCGGUGAAAUGCGCAGAUAUCAGGAGGAACACCAGAGGCGAAGGCGGGUUACUGGGCUGAUACUGACGCUGAUGCGCGAAAGCUAGGGGAGCGAACAGG